This 373-nucleotide ribosomal RNA is filed under the name Amanita sp. RNAcentral's name for it is "partial small subunit ribosomal RNA". It matches the Rfam family "Eukaryotic small subunit ribosomal RNA", at positions 587 to 975 of the family's 1831-position model. Lineage: Eukaryota; Fungi; Basidiomycota; Agaricomycetes; Agaricales; Amanitaceae. The record is from RNAcentral.
AGCUCCAAUAGCGUAUAUUAACGUUGUUGCAGUUAAAAAGCUCGUAGUCGAAAGCUGGACGGGGGGCGCAUGGCAUCGUGGAUGCGUGUGGGGUCCGCGUCUUUGUGUGGAGAGCGAGGUGCCCUUUUGUGGGCGGCUCGUGCAACCACGACGAUUACCUUGAGGAAAACAGAGUGUUCAAAGCAGGCGAGAGCUUGAAUACGUUAGCAUGGAAUAAUAAGAUAGGGCGUGGCCGUAUUUUGUUGGUUUUUGGGGCCGAGUCAUGAUGAAUAGGGACAGUUGGGGGCAUUGGUAUUUCUAAGCUAGAGGUGAAAUUCUUGGAUUUUAGGAAGACUGACAACCGCGAAAGCAUUUGCCAAGGAUGUUUUCAUUG